UACGUAAGGGGCAAGCGUUGUUCGGAAUCAUUGGGCGUAAAGGGCGUGUAGGCGGCAUGACAAGCUUGGUGUAAAAUGCUAUGGCUUAACCAUAGUUAAGCGCUGAGAACUGUCGAGCUAGAGUUUUGGAGGGGAAGCUGGAAUUCCUGGUGUAGGGGUGAAAUCUGUAGAUAUCAGGAAGAACACCAAUGGCGAAGGCAGGCUUCUGGCCAGAGACUGACGCUGAGGCGCGAAAGCGUGGGGAG
Molecule: ribosomal RNA, 245 nt
Filed under: uncultured bacterium
Lineage: Bacteria
Description: partial 16S ribosomal RNA
Rfam family: Bacterial small subunit ribosomal RNA
Source: RNAcentral